Molecule: transfer RNA, 55 nt
Filed under: Vibrio breoganii ZF-29
Lineage: Bacteria; Pseudomonadati; Pseudomonadota; Gammaproteobacteria; Vibrionales; Vibrionaceae
Description: tRNA-Met
Rfam family: tRNA
About the family: Transfer RNA (tRNA) molecules are approximately 80 nucleotides in length. Their secondary structure includes four short double-helical elements and three loops (D, anti-codon, and T loops). Further hydrogen bonds mediate the characteristic L-shaped molecular structure. tRNAs have two regions of fundamental functional importance: the anti-codon, which is responsible for specific mRNA codon recognition, and the 3' end, to which the tRNAs corresponding amino acid is attached (by aminoacyl-tRNA synthetases). tRNAs cope with the degeneracy of the genetic code in two manners: having more than one tRNA (with a specific anti-codon) for a particular amino acid; and 'wobble' base-pairing, i.e. permitting non-standard base-pairing at the 3rd anti-codon position.
Source: RNAcentral
GUGGCUACUUAGCUCAGCUGGUUAGAGCACAUCACUCAUAAUGAUGGGGUCGCAG